Molecule: ribosomal RNA, 483 nt
Filed under: uncultured bacterium
Lineage: Bacteria
Description: partial 16S ribosomal RNA
Rfam family: Bacterial small subunit ribosomal RNA
Source: RNAcentral
GACGAACGCUGGCGGCGUGCUUAACACAUGCAAGUCGAACGCUGAAGCUCAGCUUUUGUUGGGUGGAUGAGUGGCGAACGGGUGAGUAACACGUGAGUAACCUGCCUCCUUCUUUGGGAUAACGCCCGGAAACGGGUGCUAAUACUGGAUAUUCACUGGUCUUCGCAUGGGGGUUGGGGGAAAGGGUUUUUCUGGUGGGGGAUGGGCUUGCGGCCGAUCUGCUUGUUGGUGGGGUGAUGGCCUACCAAGGCUUUGACGGGUGGCCGGGCUGGGAGGGGGACCGGGAACGUUGGCACUGAGAUACGGCCUAGGAUCCGACGGGGGGUAGCACGGGGGGAAAUUGCGCAAUGGGUGGAAGCCUGAUGCAGCGCCGGAGCGUGAGGGGUGGCGUCCGUCGGGUUGGGAAUCUGUUUGGCACAUGGUCAAGCCGCAACAAUGGUUGUGGUGAGGGUAGUGGGUAAAGAAGCGCCGGCUAACUACGUG